GGGAGGGCUCCUCCCACUUCUCACAGCCUCAUCUCUUAAAAACUCCCAUCUCUCCGCACACAACCCUCAGGGGAAACUCUUCUGUCAAAGGGACAGUGCUAAGAAGCACAACUAAAGGAGAUGAUGGCAAAGAAGGUUGCGGUGAUUGGGGCAGGGGUCAGUGGACUGAUCUCUCUGAAGUGCUGCGUGGAUGAGGGUCUGGAGCCCACCUGCUUCGAAAGGACUGAAGAUAUCGGAGGACUGUGGAGAUUCAAAGAAAACGUGGAAGAUGGCCGAGCUAGCAUCUACCACUCUGUCAUCACCAACACUAGCAAAGAAAUGUCCUGCUUUAGUGACUUCCCAAUGCCGGAGGAUUUCCCCAACUUCCUGCACAACUCUAAACUCCUGGAAUAUUUCAGGAUCUUUGCCAAGAAAUUUGAUCUCCUAAAAUAUAUUCAGUUUCAGACAACCGUCAUCAGUGUGAAAAAACGCCCAGAUUUCGCAUCUUCUGGGCAAUGGGAAGUUUAUACUCAGAGCAAUGGCAAGGAGCAGCGUGCUGUCUUUGACGCUGUUAUGGUUUGCAGUGGCCAUCACAUCCAGCCUCACCUGCCACUCAAGUCGUUUCCAGGUAUCGAGAGGUUCCAAGGCCAGUAUUUCCAUAGCCGCCAAUACAAGCACCCAGUUGGGUUUGAGGGGAAACGCGUCCUGGUGGUUGGAAUAGGAAACUCAGCCGCAGAUAUUGCCUCUGAACUGAGUAAGACGGCCGCACAGGUGUUUAUCAGCACCAGACAUGGUUCCUGGGUCUUGAGCCGAAUCUCUGAAGAUGGCUACCCUUGGGACAUGGUGUUCCACACCAGGUUUAGCUCCAUGCUCCGAAAUGUCCUGCCCCGCACAGUCGUCAAGUGGAUGAUGGAACAACAGAUGAAUCGCUGGUUCAACCAUGAAAAUUAUGGUCUGGUGCCUCAGAACAAAUACCUUAUGAAAGAACCUGUAUUAAAUGAUGAUCUUCCCAGCCGCCUGCUGUACGGCGCCAUCAAAGUAAAAACACGGGUGAAGGAGCUCACGGAGACAACUGUGGUCUUCGAGGAUGGCACGGUGGAGGAAGACGUGGAUGUCAUUGUCUUUGCCACGGGAUAUACCUUCUCUUUUCCUUUCCUGGAAGACUCGCUUGUUAAAGUGGAGGAUAAUAAGGUCUCGCUGUACAAAGCCAUGUUUCCCCCUCACCUGGAGAAGCCAACCCUUGCGUGCAUAGGUCUCAUCCAGCCUCUGGGCUCCAUCUUCCCAACUGUAGAGCUUCAGGCACGUUGGGCAACAAGAGUUUUCAAAGGCUUGUGUAGCUUGCCUUCGGAGAUGACUAUGAUGGCAGACAUUGUUGAAAGAAAUGAGAAAAGAAUUAACCUGUUUGGAAAAAGCCAGAGCCAGAUACUGCAGACCAAUUACGUUGACUACCUGGAUGAACUAGCUUUGGAAAUAGGUGCGAAGCCAGACUUCAUCUCUCUCCUUUUCAAAGACCCUAAACUGGCUGUGAGACUCUACUUCGGACCCUGCAAUUCCUACCAGUACCGUCUAGUUGGACCUGGACAGUGGGAAGGAGCCAGGAAUGCCAUCCUCACCCAGAAGCAGAGGAUCCUGAAGCCCUUAAAGACUCGAACUCUCCAGCCCUCAGCUAACGCCUCAGUAUCUUUCCUGCUCAAGCUCCUGGGACUGCUCGCUGUUGUUCUAGCUUUCUUUUUCCAACUUCAGGGGUUCUAAUCUGUCACCUGACACUUUUCUCCAUCACUGCCUCUUUGAAAGGGAGACUAAAAAAAAUCACAUCCUCAUUAUAAUUUUACUUCAGGGGAACAAAUAGAGGGACUAAUUGUAGGGAGAUCAGAAGACGUAGGUCUAGAUAUAAAACUAAAUUAAGGUCACAAGAUGUCCUUAUCAUUCUAUUUCCUCAAAUUCAUCUGUCUCCAUACUGUAUUCUACAAUAAUACCAGCACAGGUAGAUAGUGCCAUCAGCCAUGGCAGGUUUUGAGUUACGUGAUUAAAAGAAUUCAAUAAAAUUAUGCAGAAUAAAAAGUAAGUCAUAGUUGAGCAUGUUAGCACACGCCUUUAAUCUUAGCACUUGGGUGGCAUAUGGAUCUCCAUGAGUUUGAGGCCAGGCUGGCCUAAAGAGUGAGUUCCAGGACUUCCAGAACUGCACAGGUAGAUCUUGUCUCAAAAAAAAAAAAGGCAAGACACUGAAGAACUUAAAUUGUGGUAGAGAUUUCACAUCCUGUACACUAUGCUCAGUGCUGUUCCUACGCAUACUCUAGUCACCGUUCCUACUUAUUAGGGUCUGCUAUCUCUUGAUGAGAGAUCACUCAGAAAUACUGGUGGACAAAAAAGAGAGGAUAGACCAAAAGCAACAACAAUGCUGGGAUAUACUUUAAGUUCCUCAUAUUGCAAGCUAAGCAAAUAGACACAGCUCCUGUAUGUUGCUAGAAACACUGAUCCCCUAGCUACAACAUAUAGAUAUUGUUUCUCACAGACUAGACAUUGUGCUAUGUGUACAUUAUGUAUUUUAUUGUAUUUAAUUCUCACAGCAACUGUCUUGAGAUGAGGCUUCAAUUGAUGCCCAAUUUGUUAAACUCUGGAACUAACAGUCAUGAGCUCACCAUGCAAUACGCUUAUUUAUAAAAGCUCCACUCUUGAUGAAGUACUUCCUAAUUGUUUAUUUUAUUCAUUAUAAGAUCACACUAUAGUUCUAUUCAUUAGCAUAAAGUUUUCUAAAACUAUUGUAAAAAAUGGCACUUUCCUUGCAAAUACAACCUGUCUAGGUUCGUUUACAGUAUUAGGUCUUCAUGUCAGCUGGAGCUUAAAAAGCACUUGAGGUUGGCACAGUGUACAGACCUUUAAUCCCAGCACUAAGGAGGCAAGGAGGUGGAUCACUAUGAGCUUGAGGCUGGGCUGGUCUACAUAGCAAAAUCUGGGCCAGCCAAGGCUACAUGGUGACACCCUGCCUCAAAAGAAAAAUAAUUUUAAAGAGAACUAGAAUGAAAAAUACCUCUGCAGCAGUACUUAAAGUAAUUAUCAACAUUUGGAAGGGUGACAAUUGAAGUAAAGUGUAUCUCCCAAGCAGAUGAAAACUGUUACGAUGACUGAGCCAGUGUCUAGGAUUAACAUGAUAGGUAAGAAAGGCACAUCUCAGCAAUGCACUGUCUUUGUCAUCUGAUAAGGGGGCAGGGAGUGUCAUUUUCUUGGAACUGAAAACUAAAGGAGACAUAAGCAAUUCAGUGUCAGCAAACAUUGAGCAACAUAGCAAACAGCAGGCUACAAACACUCCUGAUAGCAGCUCUUCCCGUGACCCGCACUGUGAAAGAUAAGCCAUGCCCAGACACCAGACCAGUGCCUCUGCAGAGGGGACAAAGGUUGAGAUAUUGAAGGUUUAGGUAAAUAGCUGUUCGUUAUCCCUCCAAGGAGUGAUUCUCAACUUUCCUCAUGCUACACCCCUUUAAAUCAGUCCCUCAUGCUGUGGUGGCCCCCAACUCUAAAAUUAUUCCAUUGCUACUUCAUAACUGUAAUUUUGCUACUCUUAUGGAUCGUAAUGCAAAUAUCUGAUAUGUCACCCCUGUGGGGGUCUCAACCCACUGGUUGAGAACUACUGCUUUAAAGCUUUGUGGACGCUCUCUUUAAGCCUAACUAAUGCCAGCCCCUCUCUCCUUUCUUUCUCCUCGCUCUCCUCCUCCCUUUCCAGUCUGAUGGCAAUAUCUUCCAAUAGGAACUUCUUUCUUUUAAGCCCACUGAAUUGGACUGCAGAACUGCCCAGUUGACAAAGCCUUGGAAGCUUAAGAAUCUGAAGUUGAGCUUCAGAACCUGCAUUUUACCAACCAGGUGUGGCAGAACACACAUCUGAUCCCAGCACUGGAGAGGAAGAUGAUGACAGUUUCCUGGGUGUCUCUGGCCAGCCUCCUCUGUUUUAAUGAGUGCCAGGGAAGCAAAGACAUUGUUAGAGUGAACUACCCAGGCCAUGACAUAUAAAAGAAUUUCAAACAACCAUUUCAAAACACGAAGCCUUUGAAAGCUUAACCCAGAGGAAGGGUCUUCUUUGAAGCCAGUCUUCCACCCUGGAAGCUCUCCUGACCUGGAACUACUUUGGCCUGCUUCCAGGAGGUGCAAUGUGCUGACAUCAAGCAAAACUCACUUGUCCAUCCUGCCCUAUGACCUGGGAAACAGAUCAAAGCAGCUAACGCAAGGUCUCUCAGCACUGAACUCUACUUGAUCCAGGUCAGACGCCAAAGUGAGAUGAAACAUGUGAGAUGUUAUGGAGGAAGAUUUUUGUGUCGGCAAACAAGAGGAAAGCCUGGGAAAGAUGCAAGAGUCAUCAUCAGCCCACAGUGCAAGCCCCAGCCUCUGUGAAGGAGAGACAGAAAAAAGUCGGUGUGAGUAGCACACACUGAUGAAAGGCAGAGAACUCAGGGCCACUGAGCUGUCGCUGUCAGAGAGGCCCAGAGGAACCAGCGUUUCUGCCCUACAAAUCCAAACAAACCAUCAUAAGGACUGACUGUUCUUCCUAUGGGUGACAAGUGUUCUCAGGCUUGUAGCAUGUAACUGUAUGCUAUAGAUUCUGGGACAGGAUUCUACUCACAAGUAAUGAGGUUUGCUGCUAAAUAGCUCUAUACUUUAGGCAGCUGGCCAGUAGACAAUGGAUGAUUAUAUAAAGGCAUCAGUUUCUCUUAAAUAUAGCUCUUCCUGAGCUAUUUUAAGGUUCAGCAACCUUUGUGACCUGCAUAAAAUACUCAGAGCCAUUGUAUGUCAUAAACAAUUCAAUUUGAUUUAAUUAUAUUUAGUUAUAGCAGCCUGUCUUAAGAUUGGCAUCAAAGUAAACCAUGUGUCCUAAGUCUUAUGUCUUGCAAAUGGGAUCCUUGGCUUUCAUAGGUAGAACUAUCCACUCUCGAGCCUUCACUGUGUGAAAGAAUAACAAAGCUACGAUAUGUUUAUAUUUUCUAUUAAUUGCCUAAAAUCCAAAAAUGACAUAUCAUAUCAAUUGGCAUAUUUCAUCUCUAUUUAUCAAAGAUGGAAAUUAUUCUAGCAAUACUACGAAGUGCACAUUGUCAAACAAAAAAUUUUAAAUGUUUGUGUCUGACAUCAUAGAAUAAAACUUUGUUGAUGUACAUAGCAA
Molecule: RNA transcript, 5122 nt
Organism: Grammomys surdaster
Lineage: Eukaryota; Metazoa; Chordata; Mammalia; Rodentia; Muridae
Gene: Fmo2
Gene name: flavin containing monooxygenase 2
Exons: 10
Source: RefSeq, a predicted model, not a curated record